AAGGGGCAGUAAUGUAUGGGUACCUACCUUGGGGUUGAGCAUAGCCGUUCUAACGGACGGGUAAUACUCAGCGAUGUCGCAAGACCAAAGGUCCGCCGCCCUGAGAGGGGCCCAUAUCGGAUUAGCUAGUUGGUGAGGUAAAGGCUCACCAAGGCCGAGAUCUGUAGCGGGUGUGAGAGCACGACCCGCGCCACUGGCACUGAGACACUGGCCAGACACCUACGGGUGGCUGCAGUCGAGGAUCUUCGUCAAUGGGGGCAACCCUGAACGAGCGAUGCCGCGUGUGCGAUGAAGGCCUUCGGGUUGUAAAGCACGAAAGAGAUAAGAAAGGGCAACUUGAUCGAAUCUCAGUAAGCUCGGGCUAAGUUCGUGCCAGCAGCCGCGGUAAGACGAACCGAGCGAACGUUGUUCGGAAUCACUGGGCUUAAAGGGCGCGUAGGCGGGUGGUUAAGUCUGUGGUGAAAUCCUCCAGCUCAACUGGAGAACUGCCAUGGAUACUGGUCAUCUCGAGGAAGGUAGGGGUAUGUGGAACUAUCGGUGGAGCGGUGAAAUGCGUUGA
This 559-nucleotide ribosomal RNA is filed under the name uncultured bacterium. RNAcentral's name for it is "bacterial SSU rRNA". It matches the Rfam family "Bacterial small subunit ribosomal RNA", at positions 102 to 694 of the family's 1533-position model. The record is from RNAcentral.